Molecule: ribosomal RNA, 1927 nt
Filed under: human gut metagenome
Description: bacterial LSU rRNA
Rfam family: Bacterial large subunit ribosomal RNA
Source: RNAcentral
UCAAGUGACUAAGUGCAUGUGGCGGAUGCCUUGGCGAUCACAGGCGAAGAAAGACGCGGCAGCCUGCGAAAAGCUGCGGGGAGCUGGCAAACGAGCUUUGAUCCGCAGAUAUCUGAAUGGGGGAACCCACACCGCAAGGUGUAUCCGUGACUGAAUACAUAGGUUACGGAGGCGAACGAGGAGAACUGAAACAUCUAAGUAUCCUCAGGAAAAGAAAUCAACCGAGAUUCCGGCAGUAGCGGCGAGCGAACCCGGAGGAGCCUAGCUUUUGAUAGUACGAACUUUAGCCGAAAGGUCCUGGAAAGGCCUGCUAUAGUGGGUGAUAGCCCCGUAGGCGAAAGAGUUCGUAUGGUACUAAGGAAGCGAGAAGUAGAGCGGGACACGUGGAAUCCUGUUCGAAGAUGGGGGGACCAUCCUCCAAGGCUAAAUACUCGUGAUCGACCGAUAGUGAACCAGUACCGUGAGGGAAAGGCGAAAAGAACCCCGGGAGGGGAGUGAAAUAGAACCUGAAACCGCAUGCAUACAAACAGUAGGAGCCUCACCAGAGGUGACUGCGUACCUUUUGCAUAAUGGGUCAGCGACUUACAUUCUGUGGCGAGCUUAACCGAAUAGGGGAGGCGCAGCGAAAGCGAGUUCGAAAUGAGCGUCCAGUCGCAGGGUGUAGACCCGAAACCAGAUGAGCUAUCCAUGGCCAGGUUGAAGGUGUGGUAACACACACUGGAGGACCGAACCGACUAGUGUUGCAAAAUUAGCGGAUGAGCUGUGGAUAGGGGUGAAAGGCCAAACAAAUCUGGAGAUAGCUGGUUCUCCCCGAAAACUAUUGAGGUAGUGCCUCGUGUGUCGCUCCAGGGGGUAGAGCACUGUUUUGGCUAGGGGGACAUGGAGUCUUACCAAACCAAGGCAAACUCCGAAUACCUGGAAGCGUAAGCACGGGAGACAGAGCACCGGGUGCUAACGUCCGGACUCAAAAGGGAAACAACCCAGACCGCCGGCUAAGGUCCCCAAUAACAGCUAAGUGGAAAACGAAGUGGAAAGGCCGUGACAACCAGGAAGUUGGCUUAGAAGCAGCCAUCCUUCAAAGAAAGCGUAAUAGCUCACUGGUCGAGUCCUUCUGCGCGGAAGAUGUAACGGGGCUAAGCUGUUAACCGAAGCCGCGGAUGCACUGAUUAUUCAGUGCGUGGUAGGGGAGCGUUCUGUAAGUCUGCGAAGGCGGUUCGAGAGGACUGCUGGAGAUAUCAGAAGUGCGAAUGCUGACAUGAGUAACGUUAAAGCAGGUGAAAAGCCUGCUCGCCGUAAGCCCAAGGAUUCCUGCUCUACGUUCAUCGGAGCAGGGUGAGUCGGCUCCUAAGGUCAGGCCGAAAGGCGUAGCCGAUGGGAAUCAGGUUAAUAUUCCUGAACCUGCGUCAGAUGCGAUGGGGGGACGGAGCAUGAAAGAUCAUCCGGGUGUUGGAUGUCCCGGUUGACGAGCGUAGGAGGUCUGCAGGCAAAUCCGCAGACGCAUCUCCAAGGCGAAGUCACGUGCCGCCACGGCGGCGAAGUGAUCGGAAGUGCUUCCAAGAAAAGCCUCUAAGCACCAGUCUGACGCGGACCGUACCGCAAACCGACACUGGUGGGCGAGCUGAAUAUGCUCAGGCGCUUGAGAGAACUCGGGAGAAGGAACUCGGCAAAUUGACACCGUAACUUCGGAAGAAGGUGUGCCGUAGUACCGUGAGAGGAGAGACACCUUGAGCGGGAAUCGGUCUCAGAGAAUAGGUGGCUGCGACUGUUUAUUAAAAACACAGCACUCUGCAAAGUCGAAAGACGACGUAUAGGGUGUGAUGCCUGCCCGGUGCUGGAAGAUUAAUUGAUGGGGUGAGAGCCCUUGAUCGAAGUCCCAGUAAACGGCGGCCGUAACUAUAACGGUCCUAAGGUAGCGAAAUUCCUUGUC